This 1457-nucleotide ribosomal RNA is filed under the name Bacillus sp. (in: firmicutes). RNAcentral describes it as "bacterial SSU rRNA". It matches the Rfam family "Bacterial small subunit ribosomal RNA". The record is from RNAcentral. Lineage: Bacteria; Bacillati; Bacillota; Bacilli; Caryophanales; Bacillaceae.
GAAGGCAUGCGGCGUGCUAUACAUGCAGUCGAGCGGACAGAAGGGAGCUUGCUCCCGGAUGUUAGCGGCGGACGGGUGAGUAACACGUGGGUAACCUGCCUGUAAGACUGGGAUAACUCCGGGAAACCGGAGCUAAUACCGGAUAGUUCCUUGAACCGCAUGGUUCAAGGAUGAAAGACGGUUUCGGCUGUCACUUACAGAUGGACCCGCGGCGCAUUAGCUAGUUGGUGAGGUAACGGCUCACCAAGGCAACGAUGCGUAGCCGACCUGAGAGGGUGAUCGGCCACACUGGGACUGAGACACGGCCCAGACUCCUACGGGAGGCAGCAGUAGGGAAUCUUCCGCAAUGGACGAAAGUCUGACGGAGCAACGCCGCGUGAGUGAUGAAGGUUUUCGGAUCGUAAAGCUCUGUUGUUAGGGAAGAACAAGUGCAAGAGUAACUGCUUGCACCUUGACGGUACCUAACCAGAAAGCCACGGCUAACUACGUGCCAGCAGCCGCGGUAAUACGUAGGUGGCAAGCGUUGUCCGGAAUUAUUGGGCGUAAAGGGCUCGCAGGCGGUUUCUUUAAGUCUGAUGUGAAAGCCCCCGGCUCAACCGGGGAGGGUCAUUGGAAACUGGGAAACUUGAGUGCAGAAGAGGAGAGUGGAAUUCCACGUGUAGCGGUGAAAUGCGUAGAGAUGUGGAGGAACACCAGUGGCGAAGGCGACUCUCUGGUCUGUAACUGACGCUGAGGAGCGAAAGCGUGGGGAGCGAACAGGAUUAGAUACCCUGGUAGUCCACGCCGUAAACGAUGAGUGCUAAGUGUUAGGGGGUUUCCGCCCCUUAGUGCUGCAGCUAACGCAUUAAGCACUCCGCCUGGGGAGUACGGUCGCAAGACUGAAACUCAAAGGAAUUGACGGGGGCCCGCACAAGCGGUGGAGCAUGUGGUUUAAUUUCGAAGCAACGCGAAGAACCUUACCAGGUCUUGACAUCCUCUGACAACCCUAGAAGAUAGGGCUUUCCCUUCGGGGACAGAGUGACAGGUGGUGCAUGGUUGUCGUCAGCUCGUGUCGUGAGAUGUUGGGUUAAGUCCCGCAACGAGCGCAACCCUUGAUCUUAGUUGCCAGCAUUCAGUUGGGCACUCUAAGGUGACUGCCGGUGACAAACCGGAGGAAGGUGGGGAUGACGUCAAAUCAUCAUGCCCCUUAUGACCUGGGCUACACACGUGCUACAAUGGACAGAACAAAGGGCUGCGAGACCGCAAGGUUUAGCCAAUCCCACAAAUCUGUUCUCAGUUCGGAUCGCAGUCUGCAACUCGACUGCGUGAAGCUGGAAUCGCUAGUAAUCGCGGAUCAGCAUGCCGCGGUGAAUACGUUCCCGGGCCUUGUACACACCGCCCGUCACACCACGAGAGUUUGCAACACCCGAAGUCGGUGAGGUAACCUUUAUGGAGCCAGCCGCCGAAGUGACCAAAGG